AUGGGCCAGCACCACCACGUCGGCUCUUUCCACAUUGCCUGUGAAGAACUCAGGAUGCACAAGCUCGUAUCCGUCGCUUUCCUAGUCUUCGUCUCAUGGUCGACGCUGGCGGUCUCUUCCCCGUCCGGCGUCCCUUGCUACCAAUCCAUCUUCAGCUUCGGUGACUCCUUCGCUGACACAGGCAAUAACCCUGUCGUCUUCAAAUGGCACCAUCUUCGACCCCGUCACACGUCCUCCCUAUGGCACCAGCUUUUUCGGCCGCCACACUGGUCGCAACGGCGACGGGCGGCUCAUCAUCGACUUCAUUGCUGA
Molecule: ribosomal RNA, 312 nt
Filed under: Triticum aestivum (bread wheat)
Lineage: Eukaryota; Viridiplantae; Streptophyta; Magnoliopsida; Poales; Poaceae
Description: partial small subunit ribosomal RNA
Source: RNAcentral